UCGGAUGUACCGAUGGGACUAUUCUUUAAAGAUUUUGACAUACUUAUAGGGCUCAAUUGGUACUAAUGAUAUAAUAUAUCUAUGUCACCCCAAUAUCUUGUUUGAUACAAAGCACACGACCCUUUAUAAAUCAAAAGCCUGAAAAUAUUAAAUAAAUUUGAGUAAUUUUGUAUACCGCCUAAGAAGAUGAUAUACGUAAUACAAAUCAUAAUUAUAAGUAUUAUUAACUUUAUAUCUGAAUACACCAUACCAAACAACAAAUAUAUUUUACAAAUAUUUUGAUGCAUUCUACGAAACAUGAUAUUAAUAUGACAUAUAGUAAAAGAUUAGUAUUUUAGUUAAACAUAUCAUACCUUUAUUACAUACUAUUGUGUACCAAAAUACCCAUAGUUAAAAAUUUUAAUUAUAUAAGUACUCAUUUUAAAAUAAAUCAAGAAUAUUUAUGUAUCUAAAAUUCUUUAAAAUUAUGAAAAUUUAACUAUUUGAUAAUGUAUAUUAGUAUAUAUAGCAAAUUUAUACCUUUCAACUAGUAGCACUAUAAACUUAAAGGUGAACCAAGCACGAAAUCGGAACAUGUUCCGAUUGCAACUGAUACGACAUAUCUUCCUAAAAUCUAC
RNAcentral lists this long non-coding RNA (617 nucleotides) under Salvia miltiorrhiza (redroot sage). RNAcentral describes it as "long non-coding RNA (SMIL_LNC000284)". The record is from RNAcentral. Lineage: Eukaryota; Viridiplantae; Streptophyta; Magnoliopsida; Lamiales; Lamiaceae.